This is a long non-coding RNA of Camelus dromedarius (Arabian camel), 2497 nucleotides long. RefSeq lists it as uncharacterized. NCBI's taxonomy places the organism in Eukaryota, Metazoa, Chordata, Mammalia, Artiodactyla, Camelidae. The transcript has 12 exons. The record is from RefSeq and is a predicted model, not a curated record.
GCCCGGCAGCAGCGCCGCGGCCGCGCGAGGCGUUUGGUGUCGGCUGCGGGCCGUCCCGCCAGGGCCCUCUGACGUGCUGCGUGUGCACAGGUGGCUGCGCGGUGCCCGUCAGUGCGCCGCCCGUGGCGGGGUCUGUGUUCGGGGACGGGUGUGUUUGUGGCUGCAGUUGCCGCAGUUCGUCCCGGCCCUCCAGACCUCCCCAGCCCCACUCUCGGCCUCGUGGUCCUGGCACGACCGCUGCUUCUGCCUCGGAUGCUUCCUCUGGGCUCCGCCCCCAGCACGUCCACGUCACGCCUGCUGCCUUAGUCCUGCAGAAAUCCUGCGCUUUGGAUUUGUGUCACCUUCUGUAAGUUGAAAGCUUCUGGACCAACUGCGGCAGUGAGAUGGAGUCAGAAGAGGAGGUAUUGCCAUCAGAGAGUCAGCAAAGGUGGUUGACCAAGCCCAAAGGAGGGUGCUGAGGGGAGUUGAUGACCUGGACUUUUUCAUAGGGGAUGAAGCCAUAGAUAAACCCACGUAUGCCACAAAGUGGCCAAUAAGACAUGGAAUAAUUGAAGACUGAGAUCUAAUGGAGAGGUUCAUGGAACAAGUUAUUUUUAAUUUUCCCUGAGCUGAACCUGAGGGCCAUCACUUUUUGAUGAAACCUUCCUAGCAGAUUUGCCCUGUCUGUCCGUGCCCAGUGUGGGCCCUAGAGGGGAACAAAAUUACUUUGGUACAUUUUGAUGAGUCAAGAUUCUCUCCUGUUGCUGGUGAGGGGACCACAUCUCAUCACCUGGCCCCAAGAGGUGGAAGGUUAGGUAAUUGGAAGCUGCAUCAAACACAUCCCUAUUGCAGGUAGAGAUAUGUAUUUCAUUCAACAGCUGCCAAGGGAGAGGGAGGUGGGAAUCCCUCCUGAGCAACCACUGGAGACCGCAAAGGCCAUUAAGGAGAAGUACUGUCACAUUUGCCCCAAUAUAGUCAAGAAGUUUGCCAAGUAUGACGUGGAUCAGCGGAAGUGGAUCAAACAGCAAACAGGGAACAAUGCCAUAAGCCAGAAGAAAAUCAUUAUCGAUGUUGGCUAGGAAAGUUUCCCAGGCCCUGAAAUUUUCUUUCACCCAGAGAAACACCAGUGGAAACAAAUCUAAAGAUGUCAUGCACUAGGGCCUGCUGUAAUGAUCCUUCAGUCCCCCAGCUGGGUCCUCAGUGAAGUACCAGAUACUGAUUAACAUGCCAAGUAUAAUGCCUGGCCCAGGAAGCUCAGGAGAUGAAUCAAAUAACUUGACCAUGAAGGAGCACUGAGGAGGAGGCAGAGAUGAUCUCUGGCAUGGUGUAUAAAAGAAAGCACUGGAGUUCUGGAGAGGUGAGGCAGAAUAUGAAGGUAAACAGGAAUCAUUAUUCCUUUUCUCAGAGGUAUGUAAUCUACAGGGGAAGCAUGCAGCACCUGAAAGGGGAGGAGAGGUUGGUGGGCCACGCAGGGUUGAAGGAGGAGCAUAGGAACAUGGGUCUGGGAAAGUUUGGCUAGCUUUACAGUGCUCAAUUGAAAUACUACUUUGCAAUAUUUUCUCAACACCAGGGUUCAAGUUUGUUAGUCCUACUGAGACAUCAGGUCAGAAGAAAAGAACAAAAGUGAGAAGGCAUUUAUGGCUUUGCAUUCUCAGAAAGUCAUCCUGCUGGUUCAGCUGUAGUUUUAACGUGAGCUCUCCUCGGGCCUGGGAGAAAUUCUGAGAAUGACCCCUGAGAAUGAGCUCAGUGGUGAGAAGUCCAAGGACAGGAUGAGGUCGACAUUGCAAGUGUUUUUGGAAUAAGAAUCAACACACUUAAAGACUGGGAUUUGGAAGUGAGAAGGAGUACAUGGAAGUGAUUCAGGAAGACAAGGAAAUGAGACACAAGUGGCAACAUUUGUCAAAGUUCUAUGCAUUUGUUCCUUUGGAUUCAAGUGAAACAUCUGGAGUCAAUUCUUAACCCAAUGUUGGUUUGUUCUCACCAACCUCUUUGCCCUGCUAUUGGAAAAUAUAUUACAUUUCUGUAUGUUAUAUGCCCACAAAUACAAUUAAAUGUAUACUGCUUUAUGAUUUUUAAACAAGAUAAGAAAGGAUAAGAAAUAGGCAAUUAUACUCCUUUAUAAUUGCAUAAUUACCUUUAUCAGUGUUCUUUGUUUUGUGUGUGUGUGUAUUCAAAUUACUGUCUUGGGUCACUUGCUUUCAGCCUGAAGAACUAACUUUAGUAUGUCUUGUAAGGUAGGUCUACUGGCAGCAGAUUCCUUCAGAUUUUGUUUUCCAAAUGUCUUUUUAUUUCAUCUUCAUUUUUAAAUGAUAAUUUUGCUGGAUAUAUGAUUCUUGAUUAAGAACUUUUAAAAUUUGAGGGCUGAGAAUAGGUUAUCCUAUUGCCUUCAGCCCUCUAUUGUUUCUGAUGAUAAGUCAACUGUUAAUCUUAUAGGAGUUUCCUUAAGCAAGAUGUCAUUUUCCUCUUGCUGCCUUCAAGAUUUUCUUUGGCAUUUUUACUAUGUGUCUAUUCAUGGGUC